GUGUCAGCAGCCGCGGUAAGACGAACCGAGCGAACGUUGUUCGGAAUCACUGGGCUUAAAGGGCGCGUAGGCGGGCUGUCAAGUCUGGGGUGAAAUCCCGCGGCUCAACCGUGGAACUGCCUCAGAUACUGACGGCCUCGAGGGAGAUAGGGGCGAGCGGAACUAAUGGUGGAGCGGUGAAAUGCGUUGAUAUCAUUAGGAACUCCGGUGGCGAAGGCGGCUCGCUGGAUCUUUUCUGACGCUGAGGCGCGAAAGCUAGGGGAGCAAACGGGAUUAGAUACCCCAGUAGUCC
Molecule: ribosomal RNA, 292 nt
Filed under: uncultured bacterium
Lineage: Bacteria
Description: partial 16S ribosomal RNA
Rfam family: Bacterial small subunit ribosomal RNA
Source: RNAcentral